GAAGGUGGCCUGUGAGGGUUGCUGGAGGUAUCAGAAGUGCGAAUGCUGACAUAAGUAACGAUAAAGCGGGUGAAAAGCCCGCUCGCCGGAAGACCAAGGGUUCCUGUCCAACGUUAAUCGGGGCAGGGUGAGUCGACCCCUAAGGCGAGGCCGAAAGGCGUAGUCGAUGGGAAACGGGUUAAUAUUCCCGUACUUGGUGUUACUGCGAAGGGGGGACGGAGAAGGCUAUGUUGGCCGGGCGACGGUUGUCCCGGUUUAAGCGUGUAGGUGUGUGUUCCAGGUAAAUCCGGUUCACUUUAACACUGAGGCGUGACGACGAGGCACUACGGUGCUGAAGCAACAAAUGCCCUGCUUCCAGGAAAAGCCUCUAAGCAUCAGGUAACAUCAAAUCGUACCCCAAACCGACACAGGUGGUCAGGUAGAGAAUACCAAGGCGCUUGAGAGAACUCGGGUGAAGGAACUAGGCAAAAUGGUGCCGUAACUUCGGGAGAAGGCACGCUGACA
RNAcentral lists this ribosomal RNA (504 nucleotides) under Salmonella enterica. Its description in RNAcentral is "partial 23S ribosomal RNA". It matches the Rfam family "Bacterial large subunit ribosomal RNA", at positions 1252 to 1756 of the family's 2925-position model. RNAcentral also lists the same sequence under 7 other names. Lineage: Bacteria; Pseudomonadati; Pseudomonadota; Gammaproteobacteria; Enterobacterales; Enterobacteriaceae. The record is from RNAcentral.